Molecule: long non-coding RNA, 761 nt
Organism: Tyto alba (common barn owl)
Lineage: Eukaryota; Metazoa; Chordata; Aves; Strigiformes; Tytonidae
Exons: 3
Source: RefSeq, a predicted model, not a curated record
AAAGAAAAGAAAAGAAAAGAAAAGAAAAGAAAAGAAAAGAAAAGAAAAGAAAAGAAAAGAAAAGAAAAAGACAGCUCAUAUUUAUGACCAAAAGAAGAGGAAUUCCAAGGAAACCUCAGUGCAAAGGAAACUUUGGUGAUAACAACGGAUGUGUUGUGGAUAACGAACAGUAGCUGGUGAGAGAUUAUCCUGACUCUAGUAUUAAAUUAGACUUGGUGCAAAAUAUACCUAUCUUUGAUGUUGAAUUUAAAGCUAGUGUGCUAUCAAAAUCCGGGUAGAGGCUCUGCUGUGUGUUGGGCUGUCACUGAAACUCAAGUGUCCUAUUUGAAUGACUGAACAUUUUGCACACACAGUAGACUUCUUCCUGUGAGUUGAGGGCUUUGUAAAAUUACAUUACAAAAUCAACAUUGACUGUGACACACAUUGAAUCCCUCGUAUGGUGAGCUGAACAGGAUAGCAUGAUGUUGUUUUUCAGCUGCACACUUCAGAGAGAUUGACAUAUAGGGUUCACAGCUAAAGUGGUAAAGUCAUCUGCAACUCUGGCAAUAGCUGGGUUUGCCUGCUAGCCAGGGCCAAAGUCUGGAUCCAUUCAAGUCAGGGCCUCUGCUUCACUUAAAGUAUCAGACGGGCUGAAUAAGGCAGUUGUUAAAUGUUUACAUUUAUCUUCUUCAGCACCCUGCUGUUAACGUAUCAGUGAGUAUCCUGCACUAUUGACCAGGCAAACUGCCUCCUCCGGGUCUGGAGCUGCCGAGACAGGAGUA